GACGAACGCUGGCGGCGUGCCCAAUACAUGCAAGUUGAGCGAUGAAGAUUGGUGCUUGCACCAAUUUGAAGAGCAGCGAACGGGUGAGUAACGCGUGGGGAAUCUGCCUUUGAGCGGGGGACAACAUUUGGAAACGAAUGCUAAUACCGCAUAACAACUUUAAACAUAAGUUUUAAGUUUGAAAGAUGCAAUUGCAUCACUCAAAGAUGAUCCCGCGUUGUAUUAGCUAGUUGGUGAGGUAAAGGCUCACCAAGGCGAUGAUACAUAGCCGACCUGAGAGGGUGGUAGGGCACAAUGGGAAUGGGACAAGGGCCAAAACCCCAAGGGGAGGAGCAAUAGGGAAACUUCGGCAAAGGAGGAAAAUCUGAACGAGGAAAGGCGCGUGGGGGAAGAAAGUUUUCGGAACGGAAAAAUCUGUUGAUAGGGAAGGACGUUAGUGAGAGUGAAAAGCUCAUCAAGUGACGGUAACUACCCAGAAAGGGACGGCUAACUACGUG
RNAcentral lists this ribosomal RNA (497 nucleotides) under uncultured bacterium. RNAcentral describes it as "partial 16S ribosomal RNA". It matches the Rfam family "Bacterial small subunit ribosomal RNA", at positions 28 to 507 of the family's 1533-position model. The record is from RNAcentral.